UACGUAGGGUGCGAGCGUUGUCCGGAAUUAUUGGGCGUAAAGAGCUCGUAGGCGGUGUGUCACGUCGGCCGUGAAAACCUGCAGCUUAACUGUGGGCGUGCGGUCGAUACGGGCAUCACUGGAGUUCGGCAGGGGAGAUUGGAAUUCCUGGUGUAGCGGUGAAAUGCGCAGAUAUCAGGAGGAACACCGGUGGCGAAGGCGGGUCUCUGGGCCGAUACUGACGCUGAGGAGCGAAAGCGUGGGGAGCGAACAGG
RNAcentral lists this ribosomal RNA (254 nucleotides) under uncultured bacterium. RNAcentral describes it as "partial 16S ribosomal RNA". It matches the Rfam family "Bacterial small subunit ribosomal RNA", at positions 524 to 776 of the family's 1533-position model. The record is from RNAcentral.